UUCGGAGGUCAGCGGCGGACGGGUGAGUAACACGUGGGCAACCUGCCUGUAAGACUGGGAUAACUCCGGGAAACCGGAGCUAAUACCGGAUAGUAUCUUGAACCGCAUGGUUCAAGUUGGAAAGACGGUUUCGGCUGUCACUUACAGAUGGGCCCGCGGCGCAUUAGCUAGUUGGUGAGGUAAUGGCUCACCAAGGCAACGAUGCGUAGCCGACCUGAGAGGGUGAUCGGCCACACUGGGACUGAGACACGGCCCAGACUCCUACGGGAGGCAGCAGUAGGGAAUCUUCCGCAAUGGACGAAAGUCUGACGGAGCAACGCCGCGUGAGUGAUGAAGGUUUUCGGAUCGUAAAACUCUGUUGUUAGGGAAGAACAAGUGCGAGAGUAACUGCUCGCACCUUGACGGUACCUAACCAGAAAGCCACGGCUAACUACGUGCCAGCAGCCGCGGUAAUACGUAGGUGGCAAGCGUUGUCCGGAAUUAUUGGGCGUAAAGCGCGCGCAGGCGGUUUCUUAAGUCUGAUGUGAAAGCCCCCGGCUCAACCGGGGAGGGUCAUUGGAAACUGGGAAACUUGAGUGCAGAAGAGGAGAGUGGAAUUCCACGUGUAGCGGUGAAAUGCGUAGAGAUGUGGAGGAACACCAGUGGCGAAGGCGACUCUCUGGUCUGUAACUGACGCUGAGGCGCGAAAGCGUGGGGAGCGAACAGGAUUAGAUACCCUGGUAGUCCACGCCGUAAACGAUGAGUGCUAAGUGUUAGAGGGUUUCCGCCCUUUAGUGCUGCAGCUAACGCAUUAAGCACUCCGCCUGGGGAGUACGGUCGCAAGACUGAAACUCAAAGGAAUUGACGGGGGCCCGCACAAGCGGUGGAGCAUGUGGUUUAAUUCGAAGCAACGCGAAGAACCUUACCAGGUCUUGACAUCCUUUGCCACUUCUAGAGAUAGAAGGUUCCCCUUCGGGGGACAAAGUGACAGGUGGUGCAUGGUUGUCGUCAGCUCGUGUCGUGAGAUGUUGGGUUAAGUCCCGCAACGAGCGCAACCCUUGAUCUUAGUUGCCAGCAUUCAGUUGGGCACUCUAAGGUGACUGCCGGUGACAAACCGGAGGAAGGUGGGGAUGACGUCAAAUCAUCAUGCCCCUUAUGACCUGGGCUACCACCGUGCUAC
Molecule: ribosomal RNA, 1159 nt
Filed under: Bacillus sp. (in: firmicutes)
Lineage: Bacteria; Bacillati; Bacillota; Bacilli; Caryophanales; Bacillaceae
Description: bacterial SSU rRNA
Rfam family: Bacterial small subunit ribosomal RNA
Source: RNAcentral